Molecule: unclassified non-coding RNA, 249 nt
Filed under: Hevea brasiliensis (rubber tree)
Lineage: Eukaryota; Viridiplantae; Streptophyta; Magnoliopsida; Malpighiales; Euphorbiaceae
Source: RNAcentral
CCCCCUCUGGCAUACAUGUCCAUCAAGCUAUUGUAGGUGAAGAGAUCUGGCUGCAACCCACUCUCAUGAAUCAAAUGCAGCAUUUCAUGAGCUCGCUUAUACAUCUUGUUCUUUGUAAAAAUUGAAAGCAUAGAAUUAAAUAAAACUAAAUCAGGUUUGUAACCAUAUUUUUGCAAUGCCUUAAAUGCCCUUUCCGUUCCCAUUAGUGACCUACACUUGAAGUUUGCAAGAACAAGGGUUCUCAAAAGC